This 265-nucleotide ribosomal RNA is filed under the name uncultured prokaryote. Its description in RNAcentral is "partial 16S ribosomal RNA". It matches the Rfam family "Bacterial small subunit ribosomal RNA", at positions 524 to 788 of the family's 1533-position model. The record is from RNAcentral.
UACGUAGGUGGCAAGCGUUGUCCGGAUUUAUUGGGCGUAAAGGGAGCGCAGGCGGUGACUUAAGUCUGAUGUGAAAGCCCACGGCUCAACCGUGGAAGGUCAUUGGAAACUGGGUCACUUGAAUACAGAAGAGGAAAGUGGAAUUCCAUGUGUAGCGGUGAAAUGCGUAGAUAUAUGGAGGAACACCAGUGGCGAAGGCGGCUUCCUGGUCUGUAACUGACACUGAGGCGCGAAAGCGUGGGGAGCAAACAGGAUUAGAUACCCU